UCCCUGGUGGUCUGGUGGCUAAGACCCUGUCCUGUCAAUGCAGGGGACCCAGGUUCAAUCCCUGGCCAGGGAG
This 73-nucleotide transfer RNA is filed under the name Ovis aries (sheep). It matches the Rfam family "tRNA". Rfam says of the family: Transfer RNA (tRNA) molecules are approximately 80 nucleotides in length. Their secondary structure includes four short double-helical elements and three loops (D, anti-codon, and T loops). The record is from Rfam by way of RNAcentral. Lineage: Eukaryota; Metazoa; Chordata; Mammalia; Artiodactyla; Bovidae.